This 741-nucleotide ribosomal RNA is filed under the name uncultured bacterium. RNAcentral's name for it is "bacterial SSU rRNA". It matches the Rfam family "Bacterial small subunit ribosomal RNA", at positions 8 to 796 of the family's 1533-position model. The record is from RNAcentral.
AGAGUUUGAUCCUGGCUCAGAACGAACGCUGGCGGCAGGCUUAACACAUGCAAAGUCGAACGCACCGCAAGGUGAGUGGCAGACGGGUGAGUAACGCGUGGGAACGUGCCCUUCAGUUCGGGAUAACCCAGGGAAACUUGGGCUAAUACCGGAUACGUGCGAGAGCAGAAAAAUUUAUCGCUGAAGGAUCGGCCCGCGUCUGAUUAGCUAGUUGGUAGGGUAAUGGCCUACCAAGGCGACGAUCAGUAGCUGGUCUGAGAGGAUGAUCAGCCACAUUGGGACUGAGACACGGCCCAAACUCCUACGGGAGGCAGCAGUGGGGAAUAUUGGACAAUGGGCGCAAGCCUGAUCCAGCCAUGCCGCGUGAGUGAUGAAGGCCUUAGGGCUGUAAAGCUCUUUCGGCGGGGACGAUAAUGACGGUACCCGCAGAAGAAGCCCCGGCUAACUUCGUGCCAGCAGCCGCGGUAAUACGAAGGGGGCUAGCGUUGUUCGGAAUCACUGGGCGUAAAGGGCGCGUAGGCGGCCUGAUAAGUCGGGGGUGAAAGCCUGUGGCUCAACCACAGAAUUGCCUUCGAUACUGUCGGGCUUGAGACCGGAAGAGGUCAGUGGAACUGCGAGUGUAGAGGUGAAAUUCGUAGAUAUUCGCAAGAACACCAGUGGCGAAGGCGGCUGACUGGUCCGGUUCUGACGCUGAGGCGCGAAAGCGUGGGGAGCAAACAGGAUUAGAUACCCUAGUAGUCC